GAUGAAGAACGCAGUGAAAUGCGAUAAGUAAUGUGAAUUGCAGAGUUCAGUGAAUCAUCGAAUCUUUGAACGCACAUUGCGCCCGUCAGUAUUCCGACGGGCAUGCCUGUCCGAGCGUCAUUUCAACCCUCAAGCACUGCUUGGCGUUGGCGGAUUGCGUGCCCUCGCGGCGCUGCAACCGCCCAAAUACAGUGGCGGUCCCGCUGCGGCUCCCUUUGCGUAGUAACUCACCUCGCACUGGACCGGGCGGCGGCCUGCCGUAAAACCCCAACUCACGAAAUGUUGACCUCGGAUCAGGUAGGAAUACCCGCUGAACUUAAGCAUAUCAAUAAGCGGAGGA
RNAcentral lists this unclassified non-coding RNA (340 nucleotides) under soil metagenome. RNAcentral's name for it is "partial contains 5.8S ribosomal RNA, internal transcribed spacer 2, and large subunit ribosomal RNA". The stretch from base 1 to 120 matches the Rfam family "5.8S ribosomal RNA", at positions 35 to 154 of the family's 154-position model. The record is from RNAcentral.